UACAGAGGUCUCAAGCGUUGUUCGGAAUCACUGGGCGUAAAGCGUGCGUAGGCUGUUUCGUAAGUCGUGUGAGAAAGGCGCGGGCUCAACCCGCGGACGGCACAUGAUACUGCGAGACUAGAGUAAUGGAGGGGGAACCGGAAUUCUCGGUGUAGCAGUGAAAUGCGUAGAUAUCGAGAGGAACACUCGUGGCGAAGGCGGGUUCCUGGACAUUAACUGACGCUGAGGCACGAAGGCCAGGGGAGCGAAAGGG
RNAcentral lists this ribosomal RNA (253 nucleotides) under uncultured bacterium. Its description in RNAcentral is "partial 16S ribosomal RNA". It matches the Rfam family "Bacterial small subunit ribosomal RNA", at positions 524 to 776 of the family's 1533-position model. The record is from RNAcentral.